GACGAACGCUGGCGGCGUGCUUAACACAUGCAAGUCGAACGGAAAGGCCCUGCUUUUGUGGGGUGCUCGAGUGGCGAACGGGUGAGUAACACGUGAGUAACCUGCCCUUGACUUUGGGAUAACUUCAGGAAACUGGGGCUAAUACCGGAUAGGAGCUCCUGCUGCAUGGUGGGGGUUGGAAAGUUUCGGCGGUUGGGGAUGGACUCGCGGCUUAUCAGCUUGUUGGUGGGGUAGUGGCUUACCAAGGCUUUGACGGGUAGCCGGCCUGAGAGGGUGACCGGCCACAUUGGGACUGAGAUACGGCCCAGACUCCUACGGGAGGCAGCAGUGGGGAAUAUUGCACAAUGGGCGGAAGCCUGAUGCAGAAACGCCGCGUGCGGGAUGACGGCCGUCGGGUUGUAAACCGCUUUCGCCUGUGACGAAGCGUGAGUGACGGUAAUGGGUAAAGAAGCACCGGCUAACUACGUG
This 468-nucleotide ribosomal RNA is filed under the name uncultured bacterium. Its description in RNAcentral is "partial 16S ribosomal RNA". It matches the Rfam family "Bacterial small subunit ribosomal RNA", at positions 28 to 507 of the family's 1533-position model. The record is from RNAcentral.